Molecule: ribosomal RNA, 509 nt
Filed under: uncultured glomeraceous AM fungus
Lineage: Eukaryota; Fungi; Glomeromycota; Glomeromycetes; Glomerales; Glomeraceae
Description: SSU rRNA
Rfam family: Eukaryotic small subunit ribosomal RNA
Source: RNAcentral
AGCAGCCGCGGUAAUUCCAGCUCCAAUAGCGUAUAUUAAAGUUGUUGCAGUUAAAAAGCUCGUAGUUGAAUUUCGGGAUCAAUGUUUCGGUCAUGCCCUUGGUAUGUACUGAUAUUAUUGGUUUCUCACCUUCUAAGGAACCGUAAUGCCAUUAAUUUGGUGUCACGGGGAAUUAGGACUGUUACCUUGAAAAAAUUAGAGUGUUUAAAGCAGGCUCACGCUUGAAUACAUUAGCAUGGAAUAAUGAAAUAGGACAUCCGAUUCUAUUUUGUUGGUUUCUAGGAUCGAUGUAAUGAUUAAUAGGGAUAGUUGGGGGCAUUAGUAUUCAAUUGUCAGAGGUGAAAUUCUUGGAUUUAUUGAAGACUAACUACUGCGAAAGCAUUUGCCAAGGAUGUUUUCAUUAAUCAAGAACGAAAGUUAGGGGAUCGAAGACGAUCAGAUACCGUCGUAGUCUUAACCAUAAACUAUGCCGACUAGGGAUCGGAUGAUGUUAAUUUUUUAAUGACUCA